AACGCUAGCUACAGGCUUAACACAUGCAAGUCGAGGGGCAUCAGGAAGAAAGCUUGCUUUCUUUGCUGGCGACCGGCGCACGGGUGAGUAACACGUAUCCAACCUGCCGAUGACUCGGGGAUAGCCUUUCGAAAGAAAGAUUAAUACCCGAUGGUAUAUCUGAAAGGCAUCUUUCAGCUAUUAAAGAAUUUCGGUCAUUGAUGGGGAUGCGUUCCAUUAGGUUGUUGGCGGGGUAACGGCCCACCAAGCCAUCGAUGGAUAGGGGUUCUGAGAGGAAGGUCCCCCACAUUGGAACUGAGACACGGUCCAAACUCCUACGGGAGGCAGCAGUGAGGAAUAUUGGUCAAUGGACGAGAGUCUGAACCAGCCAAGUAGCGUGAAGGAUGACUGCCCUAUGGGUUGUAAACUUCUUUUAUACGGGAAUAAAGUUAGGCACGUGUGCCUUUUUGUAUGUACCGUAUGAAUAAGGAUCGGCUAACUCCGUGCCAGCAGCCGCGGUAAUACGGAGGAUCCGAGCGUUAUCCGGAUUUAUUGGGUUUGAAGGGGGCGUAGGCGGAUGCUUAAGUCAGUUGUGAAAGUUUGCGGCUCAACCGUAAAAUUGCAGUUGAUACUGGGUGUCUUGAGUACAGUAGAGGCAGGCGGAAUUCGUGGUGUAGCGGUGAAAUGCUUAGAUAUCACGAAGAACUCCGAUUG
RNAcentral lists this ribosomal RNA (693 nucleotides) under uncultured bacterium. RNAcentral's name for it is "bacterial SSU rRNA". It matches the Rfam family "Bacterial small subunit ribosomal RNA", at positions 32 to 715 of the family's 1533-position model. The record is from RNAcentral.